CCUACGGGAGGCAGCAGUGGGGAAUAUUGGGCAAUGGGCGCAAGCCUGACCCAGCAACGCCGCGUGAAGGAAGAAGGCUUUCGGGUUGUAAACUUCUUUUCUCAGGGACGAAGCAAGUGACGGUACCUGAGGAAUAAGCCACGGCUAACUACGGGCCAGCAGCCGCGGUAAUACGUAGGUGGCAAGCGUUAUCCGGAUUUACUGGGUGUAAAGGGAGUGUAGGCGGGAAAGCAAGUCAGAUGUGAAAACCAUGGGCUCAACCUGUGGCCUGCAUUUGAAACUGUUUUUCUUGAGUACUGGAGAGGCAGACGGAAUUCCUAGUGUAGCGGUGAAAUGCGUAGAUAUUAGGAGGAACACCAGUGGCGAAGGCGGUCUGCUGGACAGCAACCGACGCUGAGGCGCGAAAGCGUGGGGAGCAAACAGGAUUAGAUACCUGGGUAGUC
This 443-nucleotide ribosomal RNA is filed under the name uncultured bacterium. Its description in RNAcentral is "partial 16S ribosomal RNA". It matches the Rfam family "Bacterial small subunit ribosomal RNA", at positions 338 to 795 of the family's 1533-position model. The record is from RNAcentral.